Myotis brandtii (Brandt's bat) is the source of this 1002-nucleotide RNA transcript. RefSeq lists it as uncharacterized. The transcript has 3 exons. NCBI's taxonomy places the organism in Eukaryota, Metazoa, Chordata, Mammalia, Chiroptera, Vespertilionidae. The record is from RefSeq and is a predicted model, not a curated record.
UUGGCUAGGAAUCAGGCUCAGAGAGGGACAGCCACUGGACUAAGGCCACACAGCAAAUCAGGGACCCAGCUGGGGAAGUACUGAGCCACCCCCAGGUCUGCUCUGCCUCUAAGUGCUUCUUGUCCUCCGCCGCCAGCCUGUCCCCCUCCGUCCUGGACAGCGUGCUUUUCCGCUUGCUCUUAUGCUGCAGAGCCUAUGGACCCGGCCUCCCAGCCUCUGCUCCAUCAAGCCCACGUCCUGAGGACACACCACCUGCCUCCCAGCCAUCUUCCUGGACGCAACUCCUGCCGCCCCAUGAAUUCUACAGGACCGCAUCCUCCAGGGCAUCAAAGUCCGCUGCCCCCACAUCAGCCCCGUGGCCUCCUGUAUCUCCUCACCCCUCCCCACCCGGCGCCAUGGCCACGCCCUGGACUUUGUCAUCACAGGUGUCCAUUCUCUGACCAUGUCUCCAGCCUCCUGGCCUCCCAGCACCCACUGCAUCCCUAAUCCUCGCCUCCUCCUUGCCCCUGGACCUCGGGUCCUGCCGUCUCUCCUGCUCCUUCCAUAUGCCCCACCUCUAGGCACCACUGGAUGAUUCCACCUGUGUUGUUUACCUAUAUCUGCACGUGGGUGUGGUCUGGAGAAAGUUCCACCAGCUCUCAGCCUGAAGCCUCUGCAAACGCAUGCACUCCAUACCCCCAGCUCUCCGCCCUCCCAGCAAGGCUUCUAGGAUAGGAAUCUGUCACCACUUCACUCGCCCAUCCAUCCACCCACAUUUACUGAGCACCUACUAAGUGUCUGACACAAGCCUCUGCAUGAGGGAUACAUGGUGAGCAGUCGCCUGGGGGACAAACAAUUAAACCACAGAAAAGCAGGAGAAAAGUAGUCUAAACUCUUCUCCAAAAUGGUUGGGCCAGUUUACAGUCCCACUAAGUGCACAACAGUCCCCUUUCUUCUACCCCCAGGCCAGCACUUGUUACCUCUUGUCUACUGGAUGACGGCCAUUCUGACAGGUGUGAGGUC